Long non-coding RNA from Anolis carolinensis (green anole), 855 nucleotides. RefSeq lists it as uncharacterized. The record is from RefSeq and is a predicted model, not a curated record. The transcript is spliced from 5 exons. NCBI's taxonomy places the organism in Eukaryota, Metazoa, Chordata, Lepidosauria, Squamata, Anolidae.
GUGCCUGCAAUGGCCAGUAGGUCACACUAAGCUCUCUGUCCAACUGGGUAGGUAGGGUGGUGGUGACACAGAAGGUGAGAUGACAGUCUUGGCCUGACUGGACUGUUGGAUGGCCGAAGUGCUACAGCAGGCUCCACGUGUGGUUGUCUGUGGAGCUACUUCAGAACUAAAACUCCUGUUAGAAAGAUGUCCCCACUGGAUAGAAGAAAACUACAAACCUCUUACCACCCAGAUGAGUUGAUACAUUUAAAUGCUUACCAAGUUCUGCCUGCAUGCCACAGACAACUUCAGGAAAUUCUGAGUGGAGACUCUGCAAAUGCAUAUGUCCCUCGAGUUGGAAUGAGAUGGCAAUCCAGCACAGGAGAUCAAAUUCUCCAUUGCCUUCUAGAUGUGCUGGACUAACAUUUCCACCAUCUCUAACAAUCCUGGCCAUCUGUAACCUCAGGUCAUCCAAGAAUGUCGUGAUCAGCUGUCACUCAAUACCAGACCUUUUCAUCACUAGAAGAGUGACAACAUCAACACAACAUCAACAAAGAAGGUCAAGGAUUUGCAGGAAAGAGGAGAAGAGAAAGGGAAUGCUCUGAGGUCUGUGUUAACACCUCAGCAACCUAUCUCAGUUCUCACCCGCCUUUACACAUGCAAAGUCACCACUGAAGGACGGUAAAGAAUCACCCUGCAUUGCAACCCAAGACUGUAAGGCUGAACCAUAGUCCUUUAUUUUUCUCUUUUGAUAACACUCUUAAGUUUUACUGUGAGAACUAAACUAAACACAUGCUGUGAUUGCCAUUAACAUGUCACCAUGUGAACCUAUGAAUUUGUGACCACCAAUCAAUAAACUGUUUCUCUUGACCCAUG